CUGGGAUUUGGGGAUACCUGGGCCAGGGGGGACCGGGAUUUGGGGCCUCCCAUAGCCACGGGGUCCCAGGAUUCAGGGAGUACCCUGGCAAGGGGAUACCAGGCUUUGGGGAUGCCCUGACCAGAGGGUACCGAGAUUCAAGGGGUGGCCUGGCUGAGGAGGCUGAGGGUGCCUUGCUUGGGGGAUACCAGGAUUUAGGGGGUACCCUGGCCGCGGGGGUACCAGGCUUUGUGGGGUCACACAACCAAAAGGUUCCAUGGGGUGGAAAGGGCCAGAGGGGUUUGGGGGUGCCCUGGCCGGGGGAUACCUUGCUCUCCACAUCUCUCAGCACCAACUCCUGGUCCUUGACUUCCAGGAUGACAUCCUGCCCCCAGAUCCGCCCCUGCUCCUCCAGGCCCUUCAGGCGCCUCAGACAAUCCUCGGCGCUGCGGAGAUCCCGCUCCAGAUGCAUCGUGAGCAGGUUUGUGGACCAAACUGACCCCACCCAGGGAGGGUCCCUGGCGUCCUGUGCCCCCCGGGUAUUACGCGGAGCAGGCGAACCGCUUUGGGAGUGUUCGGGGAGCUCGGCAGACACGCAGGGGCAGAACCGGGGGGAAUGGGUUUUGGGGAGCUGUGAAUUCCCCCCAAAAGGGAGCGGGGAGCGGGUGCCGGCGUUGGGGUCGUGCCUCAGUUUCCCCAUUCGGGGAGGGGCAAUGUACAGUCCCCACCUCGGCCACGAGGGGGAAGCACGUCCCCGCGUCGCCCCCGUCCCCCGAUGUGUCACCCCCCAGAUGUGUGUCCCGCCAGAUGUGUGACCCCCAUGUGUGGAGCCCCAGAUGUGUGAGCCCCCCCAAAUGUGCAGCCACCAUCCCCAGAUGAGGAGCCCCAGAUGUGUGACACUGAUGUGUAGCUCCCCCAGAUGUGUGACCCCCCGAGGUGUGCAACCCCCCCAGAUGUGCGACGCCCCCAGAUGUGGAGACCCAGAUGUGAAGGGUCCCAGGUCCUUCUGACCCCACCGGAGUCCCUGCCGCUGGGGACAUUUGGGUGACACUUCUCGGGGCAGGUUGGCACCAGGGGCCGCCUCUGGUCCCCGUGGGGAAUUUCGGGUCACAUCCCCCCAAAAUCCCAGCCCCCCCCCCACCCCCAUACACGGCUGCGAAACCCCCUCGGCAGCACCCAGGGCACGGCAGGACCGCGGCCCGUCCUUUCCCACCCCCGGCAGGGACAGAGUGCUCGCCCCGCCCCGUCCCAGCUCCUCCCAGUCACCCCACUGGGUAAGCUGGGAAUGGCACGAGCUGCAGAUACACUGUAAACCCUCCUUUUUAUUGUUUUUCUCCUCAAUUCCCAGCCACAGGCAACACUGCCCUGCACACCCCCAACCCGGCUGUGCCCCCCUCGCCCUUCCCCAGGCUCGGGAAGUCCCCAGGGGACACCAAUCCCCUCGGGAAGAGCCAGGAAAGGGCACGAAGGCUUCUGGAGACACAGGAAUCUUUCCCCAUGUCAGGCUUUGAAACCGCCAGCAUCAAAAUGUGCAAAAUCUGUGAAGUGGCCCCAAAACGCAGCUGCUUUGGGGAGGGAAAUGGCCUCAUCCUGCACCCCCUGUUCUGCUCCUGGGGAGGGCACUCCACACCCACCAAGGGGACAGUUCUGGGGAUGACAUCCUGUCCCCACUGGGGACACCUGAUCAGGCUCUACCCCAUAGACAGCACGGGGUUGGGGCAUUUUGGGGGGUCACCAGGCAGAGUGGACCACGGAGCCACCAGAGUCUGGAAUUCCCGGUGACACAUCGCUCCCGGCCAGGUGCCAUGAGGCCGCGGGGCCGGGAAGCAGCUGUGGCUCCGGGGGCUGGGUGCCAGCCAGGGACAAACCACCAGCCAGCCUGGAUCCGUCCUCACGUCAGCGGGCCGGGCUGCGGUGUACCCGGAUCUGUCACCUAAUUGCUGGGGACCAGCGUCUCUUCGUCUCUUCGUCAUUUUGGGGAUGGCUGGGGACGUUUAACCCCUUGGGGGCUGGGAAACUGUGCUGGAUCGGCCUCCCUGGGCCAGAGCAGCGGCAUGGCAGGACACAGGUGUCACACACGGCACGACACGGGUGUCACAGACGGCACGACACGGGUGUUACACAUGGCAUGACACGGGUAUUACACACGGCACGACACAGGUGUCACAGCAUGACACAGGUGUCACACACGGCACGACACGGGUGUCACACAUGGCAUGACACGAGUAUUACACACGGCACGACACGGGUGUCACACACGGCAUGACACAGGUGUCACAGCAUGACACGGGUGUCACACAUGGCACAACACGGGUGUCACACACCGCACGACAUGAGUAUUACGCACGGCACAACACGGGUGUCACACAUGGCACGACACAAGGCACAGCCCCAGGGCUGUACCUCUCAGGGGUGCCCAAAUCCCCAAGUCCUGCCCUCCACGGGGUGUGUUGGUGGUGACAGUGACGAGCCAAUGUCCCAGCUGCCAGGCUCAGACGUUGUUUUGGGGUGACACAGGAAAGGACAGAGGGAUGCUUGGUGACACCUCGCUGUCAUUCUGCUUGGUCUGUCCC
Molecule: long non-coding RNA, 2552 nt
Organism: Corvus moneduloides (New Caledonian crow)
Lineage: Eukaryota; Metazoa; Chordata; Aves; Passeriformes; Corvidae
Source: Ensembl